This 74-nucleotide transfer RNA is filed under the name Slackia piriformis. RNAcentral's name for it is "tRNA-Cys". It matches the Rfam family "tRNA". From Rfam's summary of the family: Transfer RNA (tRNA) molecules are approximately 80 nucleotides in length. The record is from RNAcentral. Lineage: Bacteria; Bacillati; Actinomycetota; Coriobacteriia; Eggerthellales; Eggerthellaceae.
GGCGUCGUGGCCAAGUGGUAAGGCAGAGGCCUGCAAAGCCUUCACCCCCGGUUCGAAUCCGGGCGACGCCUCCA